AUGAAGGAUGGAAGAGUGCAGCGACAUGGCGAUCAGGAUGUGGGUGGGCAUCGCGCAGAACACAUGUCGGAUGAGGGCCAACCGCUCGCCGCGGGACAGCAUAGACGCCCACCAUGGGGAGAGCUUCUUCUCCAGCCUCUCAACGAAGGGUUGGAGGGAGGAGGUGGUGAUCUUGCGAAUGGAGAGUGGGAGGCCGAGGUACUUGGCGGGGAACUCGCCGAUCGGGCACGGGAAGUGGUUGGAGAUGGAGUCCCGGAGCUCGGGGGGGCAUUGGAUGGGCAUGGCCGUGCAUUUGCCGAGGUUGGUGUGAAGGCCCGAGGCAGCACCGAACAGCCUGAGAAUGUGGCGCACCGCAGAAAGAUCGCGCGCGUCCGGGUGGCAGAAAAGCACGACGUCGUCCGUGUAGAGGGAGAGGCUGGAGGCCAUGUGCCGAUCAGUGAGCCGUUGCAGGAGGCCCAGGGAGGUGGCACGCUGGAAAAGGCGGUUGAGGAUGUCGAUGACGAUCACGAAGAGGAUGGGGGACACGGGGUCGCCCUGGCGAAGCCCCUUGCAAUGACGGAUUGGCGGCCCUGGGAGCGUGUUGAUGAGCACCUUGGUGCUAGCCGUGGAGACGAGGAUGGAGAUCCAGUUGCGCCAACGGGCCCAAACCCCAAGUGCUGCAGAACCUCGAGGAGGAAGGGCCAGGAGACAGAGACAAAAGCGCGCGCGAUGUCCAGCUUGAGAAGAACACGCGGCAGACGAAGAGUGUGGAGCUGCCUGUCAGUCUGUUGGACGAGCAUGAAGUUGUCGUGGAUGCUCCGGCCAGCGAUGAAGGCGCUCUAG
RNAcentral lists this ribosomal RNA (822 nucleotides) under Triticum aestivum (bread wheat). Its description in RNAcentral is "partial small subunit ribosomal RNA". Lineage: Eukaryota; Viridiplantae; Streptophyta; Magnoliopsida; Poales; Poaceae. The record is from RNAcentral.